This 309-nucleotide long non-coding RNA is filed under the name Homo sapiens (human). RNAcentral describes it as "non-protein coding lnc-BLM-7:1". The record is from RNAcentral. Lineage: Eukaryota; Metazoa; Chordata; Mammalia; Primates; Hominidae.
AUGGCAGGACAAGCGUGUAGAAAGUUUUUUCCACUCUCUGACUGAGUAUUGGUUGGAAGGAGCGCUGCUAAAACUGUAACCAAAGGAGGCAUUUUGCUUCCAGAAAAAUCUCAAGGAAAAGUAUUGCAAGCAACAGUAGUCACUGUUGGAUCGGGUUCUAAAGGUAAGGCUGGAGAGAUUCAACCAGUUAGCGUGAAAGUUGGAGAUAAAGUUCUUCUCCCAGAAUAUGGAGGCACCAAAGUAGUUCUAGAUGACAAGGAUUAUUUCCUAUUUAGAGAUGGUGACAUUCUUGGAAAGUACAUAGACUGA